AUAGCUCCCCCUGGAGGAGACGCCCGACAGAGCAGCGCGUCCUUCUCUACCGCCACGUGACAGCGGGCGCCAACCGACAAGGCUAAGUCGUGGGGCAACGGCGGGGCCCCUCGGGGCCCUCGGAGAGCAGCGCCCGCCCCCGCCCCUGCCCCCCUCGGAGAGGAGCUGGAGUGGCGGCCCCAUCCCUGGCCCGCCCUUCCCGCCCCCGCGCGGAUUGGCCGGGCAGCCGGCGGUUGGGAUUCUCGGCCAAUGGGGCCCCGAGGGGCGGGGCCUCGGGAGAGCCGCGCCUUCCCGCCACACGGUCACGUGACGCCCGCCAACGGCCGAGGAGGCCGACGCCCCGCCGGGGGCUUCGCCGCCUCGGGUCCGAGGGGAAGGAUGGUUUUCCCCCCAACGUGAGAGACUUUCUCCGCCCUAAGGCGCCGUCGAAAGGUCCCCCGAGGUGUCCGCCCUCCCCCGACGCCCCUCGCCACGGCCUCGGCCCUCCCGCAAACCCAGUCAUCUUUCUCAGUCCCAAGGACGAAGGCCGACGGCGCCGGAUCCCCGGAGCUGCCCCGAGGCGGAAGAGAGAGCUGUCUCUCCGGGUCCCUGGCCGCCCCCUCUCCGGCCCCCCCCGGGCCCGGCCCCGGCCCCGGCCUCAUGGUUUGCAAAAUAAAGCUGGGGGUCUCUGAAGGGGCAGUGCGCCGCAGGACCAUCCCGUAGAGUCGGGGCUUGGGGGACCCAGCGGCGGGGGGCGGGCGGCGAGACAAGGGCCCCCACUGCCCCUCCUGACCUGGCAUCCCUUGACUCCCACCCGGCCUUUCCUCUGCUCCUGCUGCCACCGCUGCUCCCACAGCCCCAGCCGAAGGUGAAGGUGACCCCCUCCGCAACCAUGAGUGCAGAGGAGAGUGAGAUCUUCACCGAAGGCCCCGUCGUCAGGAUGAAGGAGCUCACAUUCUUCCCCGUCUGCAUCGAAUUUUUGAAACCAACCAAAUUGUUGUCUAGGGACACUGAACAAUUAAAGAUGGCAGAGCUGAGUUUCACGACCAGCAGGAAACACUUCGAUGCGAUAGUCAUUGGAAGUGAAUUCGAAUCAGGAGACAGCACCUUCCGGGUGCAGUUGCGGCUUGGUUUAUGGGACGCUCAGGGACCUCAACCAGACUGUCAUCCUCAGCAGUUGAUCAUCAUCGACAACGGGCAGUUAUGUCUUCCACCUGUGGAGGCCAGUGGUAAACAUUACAGCCGUCCUGUGGAUAGCACCCAAUGGUAUCAUGCUCCUUUGGUCACUGAGUGA
Molecule: long non-coding RNA, 1273 nt
Filed under: Ornithorhynchus anatinus (platypus)
Lineage: Eukaryota; Metazoa; Chordata; Mammalia; Monotremata; Ornithorhynchidae
Description: lncRNA (ENSOANG00000046118.1)
Source: RNAcentral